CAGAUUUGACAGCCGCUUUCUCGCGCAGAGCCUCGCGAGGUUCCUGUUUUAACGGUCGUCUUGUCUCCAGCCAGCUCUGAUUUUGAAAUCGUUCAUUCAGGACCUGGAGUCGGGCAGGAAGGAGGGAGUGAGAGGGAUAAUAUAGUGCUUGGCUGUUUCUAACUUGGGUGAAGAAAGAGAAAGAAAACUCCUUGGGAUUCUCCAUACACUGAGGAUUUAUCCGGAUAUUACGUUGUUGUGACAGAACUCUUCAAAGGGGAAUUCUGGGAGUUUUUUUAUUCUUUCGUUCCUUGAGGAUGAAGCAGCACAGUGGAACCCUACCUUAAAACUGCUCUUUCACUUCUCAGUCUGAGGUUAAAACAUGGAACAUAGAAGAAGGU
Molecule: non-coding RNA, 380 nt
Organism: Salmo salar (Atlantic salmon)
Lineage: Eukaryota; Metazoa; Chordata; Actinopteri; Salmoniformes; Salmonidae
Source: RefSeq, a predicted model, not a curated record